RNAcentral lists this long non-coding RNA (218 nucleotides) under Brassica napus (rape). RNAcentral describes it as "long non-coding RNA (BNAP_LNC024349)". Lineage: Eukaryota; Viridiplantae; Streptophyta; Magnoliopsida; Brassicales; Brassicaceae. The record is from RNAcentral.
GUCAGAUCUAAGUAUAUGCAAACACUUACAUUUAUAAAUGGUAGCCCUCAAAGGCUGUAUUACUCUUUUUCCUUUUUAUCUUUUUAUAUAGUGGGUAUGUUCUUGAAGUUUUUUUUUUUUUUUUUGCUAAAUUGUAAAUGUCAUUAAGUCAAUAAUGAUGGUUUGAUUACAAGUUUGAGCCUGCAAUCCAGUUUGCUCGAGAGCCAAACCGAUGCUUA